Molecule: long non-coding RNA, 489 nt
Organism: Pseudophryne corroboree (corroboree frog)
Lineage: Eukaryota; Metazoa; Chordata; Amphibia; Anura; Myobatrachidae
Exons: 2
Source: RefSeq, a predicted model, not a curated record
AUCCAUAACUGACAGAAUACAUCUAAGAAAAUGUUAAUUAACUCCUCUUGACACCAGAUGCAGUUAAUUUGCUACCUGCCAGUCCAGAAUGUCUGCUGUAUUAUUAGGCUGAAAUCGAAUUGAAAUGUAGCUGCUGACAUGAAGAUCUCCUUGUAAUGCAUUAAAAUGUCUCCUUAAUAUGUCUCAUUAACAUGUCAGACACCUCCUGCGCAACAUAAUCAUCUGACUUGCAGCAGCCGCCGUGCUUAUGGGAGAUGAACAAGAUGGCAGAUGUUACUUCAGGCAAUGUUAGUGAUGGGGCUGAAAUGUACCUGCUUGAAGUUGAAAUGAAGCAUGCUACCAGGCUUCAUCACUUGUCUGUCUGCCUUCAAAUAAGUGUAUGCAGUGACUGUAGUAACCCUUUAAAUAACUCAGGAGCAAUGUGUUAGCUUAUUAUCUUUACACAGCAGAGUUCUUUGUACAGAGAAAUAAAGCAAGGGUGGAAACAAA